CACGUAGGGACCAAGCGUUGUCCGGAUUUAUUGGGCGUAAAGAGCUCGUAGGCGGUCGUGUAAGUCGGGUGUGAAAUCUCCGGGCUCAACUCGGAGGGGCCACCCGAUACUGCUCGACUCGAGUCCGGUAGGGGAGUGGGGAAUUCCUGGUGUAGCGGUGAAAUGCGCAGAUAUCAGGAGGAACACCGGUGGCGAAGGCGGAUCUCUGGGCCUUACCUGACGCUGAGGCGCGAAAGCGUGGGGAGCAAACAGG
RNAcentral lists this ribosomal RNA (253 nucleotides) under uncultured bacterium. RNAcentral describes it as "partial 16S ribosomal RNA". It matches the Rfam family "Bacterial small subunit ribosomal RNA", at positions 524 to 776 of the family's 1533-position model. The record is from RNAcentral.